UGCCCAGACUCCUACGGGAGGCAGCAGUGGGGAAUAUUGCACAAUGGGGGAAACCCUGAUGCAGCGACGCCGCGUGAGUGAAGAAGUAUUUCGGUAUGUAAAGCUCUAUCAGCAGGGAAGAAAAUGACGGUACCUGACUAAGAAGCCCCGGCUAACUACGUGCCAGCAGCCGCGGUAAUACGUAGGCGGCAAGCGUUGUCCGGAUUUACUGGGUGUAAAGGGCGUGCAGCCGGGCUGACAAGUCAGAUGUGAAAUCCCGCGGCUCAACCGCGGAACUGCAUUUGAAACUGUCAGUCUUGAGUACCGGAGAGGUCAUCGGAAUUCCUUGUGUAGCGGUGAAAUGCGUAGAUAUAAGGAAGAACACCAGUGGCGAAGGCGGAUGACUGGACGGCAACUGACGGUGAGGCGCGAAAGCGUGGGUAGCGAACGGGAUUAGAUACCCGUGUA
Molecule: ribosomal RNA, 447 nt
Filed under: uncultured bacterium
Lineage: Bacteria
Description: bacterial SSU rRNA
Rfam family: Bacterial small subunit ribosomal RNA
Source: RNAcentral